CGUGGAGAACCUGCCGUAUACUGGGGGAUAACACUUAGAAAUAGGUGCUAAUACCGCAUAAGCGCACAGCUUCGCAUGAAGCAGUGUGGAAAACAAAAAGCUAAAGCUUUUGGUGGUAUACGAUGGAUCCGCGUCUGAUUAGCUUGUUGGCGGGGUAAAGGCCCACCAAGGCGACGAUCAGUAGCCGGCCUGAGAGGGUGAACGGCCACAUUGGGACUGAGACACGGCCCAAACUCCUACGGAAGGCAGCAG
This 252-nucleotide ribosomal RNA is filed under the name uncultured bacterium. RNAcentral describes it as "partial 16S ribosomal RNA". It matches the Rfam family "Bacterial small subunit ribosomal RNA", at positions 116 to 354 of the family's 1533-position model. The record is from RNAcentral.